CCAUAAUUACGGCUGGGGGGCUCUUAACUUUGAUUUAGGAAAGAAUGAAGUACAGUCUUUCUUGAUUUCUAGUAUCAAGUUUUGGA
This 86-nucleotide transfer RNA is filed under the name Streptococcus anginosus. RNAcentral's name for it is "tRNA-Gln(ttg)". Lineage: Bacteria; Bacillati; Bacillota; Bacilli; Lactobacillales; Streptococcaceae. The record is from RNAcentral.